This 497-nucleotide ribosomal RNA is filed under the name uncultured bacterium. Its description in RNAcentral is "partial 16S ribosomal RNA". It matches the Rfam family "Bacterial small subunit ribosomal RNA", at positions 28 to 507 of the family's 1533-position model. The record is from RNAcentral.
GAUGAACGCUGGCGGCGUGCCUAAUACAUGCAAGUCGAGCGAACAGAUGAGGAGCUUGCUCCUCUGACGUUAGCGGCGGACGGGUGAGUAACACGUGGAUAACCUACCUAUAAGACUGGGAUAACUUCGGGAAACCGGAGCUAAUACCGGAUAAUAUAUUGAACCGCAUGGUUCAAUAGUGAAAGACGGUUUUGCUGUCACUUAUAGAUGGAUCCGCGCCGGAUUAGCUAGUUGGUAAGGUAACGGCUUACCAAGGCAACGAUGCGUAGCCGACCUGAGAGGGUGAUCGGCCACACUGGAAGUGAGACACGGUCCAGACUCCUACGGGAGGCAGCAGUAGGGAAUCUUCCGCAAUGGGCGAAAGCCUGACGGAGCAACGCCGCGUGAGUGAUGAAGGUCUUCGGAUCGUAAAACUCUGUUAUUAGGGAAGAACAAAUGUGUAAGUAACUAUGCACGUCUUGACGGUACCUAAUCAGAAAGCCACGGCUAACUACGUG